AUUGGAAUUGUGUUCUUUUUUUGUUGAAUGAGAAAAAUAGGAGAAAAUGAUUAUAAGCGGUUCAGUUAAGCAGAACCAAGAAAAUUACAAAGAGAUUGAGGCAAAGAUCUAUUUGAUGUUCUCUCUAAUGAUGUCAUGCAGAGACAGACGCAAGACUUGCAAAAAAGAUCUUGAAUGCUAAAAGGAAAAGCACAGAGGAACCGAAGGCUUUCGUAGAGAUCUCUUGCACAACUUCUCCCCAUCAUUUAGUUUAUUUGAGGAAAGCUUAUUGUUUACUCCUUGAUUCAUCCUUUGCAGAACACACUGCUUCAUCUAUUCCUUAUCCUCCUGCAAAUUUUUUUUUUUUUUUGGUAUCAUACAUUUUAACUUACAAAAUUGCUUCCUUUUUUUUCUUUUAGUAGGCUCAGAAGAAGCACAAGUAUGAAUGUGUGAUGGUGUGAAACCAAAGAGACAAUGAAAAGAAAGGAGGAACAUAGAAAGAAGAUAUGGAGAAGUCAAAGAAAGGACUUUUGAUAAAAGUGUGUGCAGUCUAUAGUGCAUGGAGUUAUGUCAGAUGAUGUUGCUCGGUUACUGAAUCGUGCUCGCCACUACUCAGCUGUGCGCUUACAUGGCUUAUAUCAACCGGGAAUAUAAGAAAAGGCGAUACUGAUCCUUCCCGAAAAGUAUAUGGAGAAUGAGAUGGUAGUUGAAGCUUUUAAGAGACUUUAGAGGUGAUGUUAGAGAUGGGUAGAAAGAGUUGGAGGCAGGAGAGGAAGACUAGGAAGUGAUGCAGCUCCUUCCGUGAGACACCUACCAAAUGGCAGCCAAAACCAACAUGGAGGUGUUGUUAGAGAUGGUUGAGGCAGAGGCCUGUCUGGUGGUGGCAAAGACAAUAAAGAUGGCCUAGCUAAAGAUUGUCGUGCUUAGAAGUGGGACUGAAAAAAUGGAAUAAAAAGCUCUAAAAUGGUAUUAGGAAGAACGUGUAGAUAACAAUAGCUUAAGGUUUUUUACAUUUGUGGAUCAUCAGGUGAACACGCUCCUGUCUCUAGGAUCAGCCGAAGCUAGAUCCUUUGUUGCUCAGACUUAAGCAGUGAUCGUUUUCGUAAUUCAGUGGCUACAGGAGGUGGCUGAAGGAACAACAGAGGUUGUUUAAUUAAGUGUGGCGACUCAAGAGCACCUGACCGAUAGUGAGCUUAGGAUGUUUGUUGAUGUGCAUGGAGAGGAAUACAGUUCAAAGCAACGUCAGAGAAAUAACGUUUACCCGCAUUUGAGUCUUCUCUCCAUUUUUUUCUUUUGCAAAGAUUUAUGUAUGAAAAAAUGGAGAAAGUAAAAUGAUUCAGAAGAGAAUCUACAGUUCUAUUCAGAGAAAGGUCGAAGAUCAUGGCUGGUUUGGUGAAUAUUGAGUCUUCAGCUAAGUUCUACUAAAAACAAUUUUUUCACAACUUACAACGAUAGUUAUCCUGAUAUUUAGUCCAGGCUGGAUUACAAAUCUUUCAUUUAGUUUCCAAUAGCUAAUCGCACAUUUAAUUUUCAGAGGUCUGUGCUAAUGUUGAUGUGUGUGUGUGUGUUGAUCAUUUGGACAGGACCAAACUACUUUGAGAUUGAUUUGGAUAUGCACAAGUUCAAUUACAUAUACAGGAAAA
Long non-coding RNA from Brassica oleracea var. oleracea, 1622 nucleotides. RefSeq lists it as uncharacterized. The record is from RefSeq and is a predicted model, not a curated record. The transcript has 6 exons. Lineage: Eukaryota; Viridiplantae; Streptophyta; Magnoliopsida; Brassicales; Brassicaceae.